UAUAGAUGGAUCCGCGCUGCAUUAGCUAGUUGGUAAGGUAACGGCUUACCAAGGCAACGAUGCAUAGCCGACCUGAGAGGGUGAUCGGCCACACUGGAACUGAGACACGGUCCAGACUCCUACGGGAGGCAGCAGUAGGGAAUCUUCCGCAAUGGGCGAAAGCCUGACGGAGCAACGCCGCGUGAGUGAUGAAGGUCUUCGGAUCGUAAAACUCUGUUAUUAGGGAAGAACAUAUGUGUAAGUAACUGUGCACAUCUUGACGGUACCUAAUCAGAAAGCCACGGCUAACUACGUGCCAGCAGCCGCGGUAAUACGUAGGUGGCAAGCGUUAUCCGGAAUUAUUGGGCGUAAAGCGCGCGUAGGCGGUUUUUUAAGUCUGAUGUGAAAGCCCACGGCUCAACCGUGGAGGGUCAUUGGAAACUGGAAAACUUGAGUGCAGAAGAGGAAAGUGGAAUUCCAUGUGUAGCGGUGAAAUGCGCAGAGAUAUGGAGGAACACCAGUGGCGAAGGCGACUUUCUGGUCUGUAACUGACGCUGAUGUGCGAAAGCGUGGGGAUCAAA
Molecule: ribosomal RNA, 560 nt
Filed under: Staphylococcus aureus
Lineage: Bacteria; Bacillati; Bacillota; Bacilli; Caryophanales; Staphylococcaceae
Description: bacterial SSU rRNA
Rfam family: Bacterial small subunit ribosomal RNA
Source: RNAcentral